UGCAGUCGAGCGGACUAAUGGGAGCUUGCUCCCGUUAGUUAGCGGCGGACGGGUGAGUAACACGUGGGCAACCUACCUGUAAGACUGGGAUAACUUCGGGAAACCGGAGCUAAUACCGGAUGACAUAAAGGAACUCCUGUUCCUUUAUUGAAAGAUGGCUUCGGCUAUCACUUACAGAUGGGCCCGCGGCGCAUUAGCUAGUUGGUGAGGUAACGGCUCACCAAGGCGACGAUGCGUAGCCGACCUGAGAGGGUGAUCGGCCACACUGGGACUGAGACACGGCCCAGACUCCUACGGGAGGCAGCAGUAGGGAAUCUUCCGCAAUGGACGAAAGUCUGACGGAGCAACGCCGCGUGAGCGAUGAAGGCCUUCGGGUCGUAAAGCUCUGUUGUUAGGGAAGAACAAGUGCUAGUUGAAUAAGCUGGCACCUUGACGGUACCUAACCAGAAAGCCACGGCUAACUACGUGCCAGCAGCCGCGGUAAUACGUAGGUGGCAAGCGUUGUCCGGAAUUAUUGGGCGUAAAGCGCGCGCAGGCGGUUUCUUAAGUCUGAUGUGAAAGCCCCCGGCUCAACCGGGGAGGGUCAUUGGAAACUGGGGAAACUUGAGUGCAGAAGAUGAAAGUGGAAUUCCAAGUGUAGCGGUGAAAUGCGUAGAGAUUUGGAGGAACACCAGU
RNAcentral lists this ribosomal RNA (675 nucleotides) under Bacillus sp. AT-MI-18. RNAcentral describes it as "bacterial SSU rRNA". It matches the Rfam family "Bacterial small subunit ribosomal RNA", at positions 56 to 713 of the family's 1533-position model. The record is from RNAcentral. Lineage: Bacteria; Bacillati; Bacillota; Bacilli; Caryophanales; Bacillaceae.